GGGGAUGCCCAGAAGGAUCCAGGAGUCCUUGAGGCUGCUGAUGCCAGCCACAUCUCCACACCCCCAGCUCGGCCCCCGGCCAUCCGGGAGAUGGGCUCCAAAGGGGCCAGGCCCAGUGACGAGGGCAGCCCAGACGCCCGGCCUCAGAUCUAGAGCCUUAGCCCGGGCCUCCCAGGGGCCCGCCAGAGCGUCCGAAUCCGCACCCGGCUCGCGCUGCUGCAGAGACACCCGGGAGCUGCAGGGACACAUUGCCAGGAAGGGCUUGGAAAUCAGACUGGGCGCACUGCCUGCCGUGCUGAGGAGCUCUCAGAAAAUGGCUACCCUGGGGCGCAGAGACCUGCUCCUGCCUAAACUGAUCCCCCCAGGCCACAAGGCUCCCCUGGCCCGUCACCGGCUCUGCCCCCUGCUCAGCUGCAAGGCAGGCAGCGUGGAGCUUGACGUGAGGCACAAACACAUCCAGUACUUCAGGGCUCUCCCCACCCUGUACGCGGAGUCCCUGGCCAAGAUGGUGCCCAGCCCGCCCAUGCCACACGCCCCCCUGCUGCCCCACGGCACGGCCAUCGAGUUCUGCCCCCUGGAGACUCCCUACGUGGCCCCCGAGGGCCGGGAGCUGCUGGAGAGGCAUGUCCUGAGGAAGCGGCUGCAGCACGAAUGGGGCCUGCCGGGCCUGGUGCGGCGAUCGCUGCGGUGUUUCAUGCCACCCCCGCCCACGCGCCCCAGGGCCAAGGGGAGAGUCCGGCCGGCAGCCAUGGAGCUCCGUGUCAGCAGCGGGGCCCCUCCCAUCCCUCUGGCCACCAAGAGGGAGCUGGAAGCCCACAUCCGGCGGAGGGCGGCCGAGAGGAGGUGGGGGCUCCCCAGGAGGGUGCGGGAGUCCCUGCGGGGCUUCAUGCCCCCCACGACCGCAGCUCCGGGGACACAUCCAGACACGCGAGGCAGAAGGGCCAGCCGGCCUCUCAGGGGGCUGUCAGCGAGAAGGGCUCCAAGGGAAUCACCCUCCAGGGGGGCAC
This 1007-nucleotide long non-coding RNA is filed under the name Chrysemys picta bellii (western painted turtle). RNAcentral describes it as "lncRNA (ENSCPBG00000014214.1)". Lineage: Eukaryota; Metazoa; Chordata; Testudines; Emydidae. The record is from RNAcentral.